UACGUAGGGACCAAGCGUUGUUCGGAUUUACUGGGCGUAAAGGGCGCGUAGGCGGCGCGGUAAGUCACUUGUGAAAUCUCUGAGCUUAACUCAGAACGGCCAAGUGAUACUGCAGUGCUAGAGUGUGGAAGGGGCAAUCGGAAUUCUUGGUGUAGCGGUGAAAUGCGUAGAUAUCAAGAGGAACACCUGAGGUGAAGACGGGUUGCUGGGCCAACACUGACGCUGAUACGCGAAAGCCAGGGGAGCAAACGGG
Molecule: ribosomal RNA, 253 nt
Filed under: uncultured bacterium
Lineage: Bacteria
Description: partial 16S ribosomal RNA
Rfam family: Bacterial small subunit ribosomal RNA
Source: RNAcentral